GAUGAACGCUGGCGGCGUGCCUCAAACAUGCAAGUCGAGCGGGGCUAUGUAAUAUCGCAAGGUAGAACAUAGCCUAGCGGCGAACGGGUGAGUAACACGUGGGUAACCUGCCUGGAAGACAGGGAUAACGAUUCGAAAGGGUCGCUAAUACCUGAUAAUAUCCUUUCAUCGCAUGGUGAUAGGAAGAAAGGGGAAACCCGCUUUCAGAUGGGCCCGCGUCCCAUCAGCUAGUUGGUAAGGUAAAGGCUUACCAAGGCGACGACGGGUAGCCGGUCUGAGAGGAUGUACGGCCACACUGGGACUGAGAUACGGCCCAGACUCCUACGGGAGGCAGCAGUUGGGAAUCUUAGGCAAUGGACGAAAGUCUGACCUAGCGACGCCGCGUGAGGGAAGAAGGCCUUCGGGUUGUAAACCUCUGUCAUGGGGGAAGAAGUAAGUGACGGUACCCAAGGAGGAAGCCCCGGCUAACUACGUG
Molecule: ribosomal RNA, 475 nt
Filed under: uncultured bacterium
Lineage: Bacteria
Description: bacterial SSU rRNA
Rfam family: Bacterial small subunit ribosomal RNA
Source: RNAcentral